CCUACGGGGGGCAGCAGUGAGGAAUAUUGCGCAAUGGGGGAAACCCUGACGCAGCAACGCCGCGUGGGUGAAGAAGGCCUUCGGGUCGUAAAGCCCUUUCGGACGGGACGAACGCUCCGCGGUGACAACCCGCGGAGUCUGACGGUACCGUAGGAAGAAGCACCGGCUAACUCCGUGCCAGCAGCCGCGGUAAUACGGAGGGUGCAAGCGUUGUUCGGAAUUACUGGGCGUAAAGCGCGUGUAGGCGGCCUUGCAAGCCAGACGUGAAAGCCCCCGGCUUAACCGGGGAAGUGCGUCUGGAACUGCUCGGCUCGAGUACGGGAGAGGGAGGCGGAAUUCCCAGUGUAGAGGUGAAAUUCGUAGAUAUUGGGAGGAACACCGGUGGCGAAAGCGGCCUCCUGGACCGAUACUGACGCUGAGACGCGAAAGCGUGGGGAGCAAACAGGAUUAGAUACCCUUGUAGUC
Molecule: ribosomal RNA, 465 nt
Filed under: uncultured delta proteobacterium
Lineage: Bacteria; Deltaproteobacteria
Description: bacterial SSU rRNA
Rfam family: Bacterial small subunit ribosomal RNA
Source: RNAcentral